Molecule: ribosomal RNA, 497 nt
Filed under: uncultured bacterium
Lineage: Bacteria
Description: partial 16S ribosomal RNA
Rfam family: Bacterial small subunit ribosomal RNA
Source: RNAcentral
GAUGAACGCUGGCGGCGUGCCUAAUACAUGCAAGUCGAGCGAACAGACGAGGAGCUUACUCCUCUGACGUUAGCGGCGGACGGGUGAGUAACACGUGGAUAACCUACCUAUAAGACUGGGAUAACUUCGGGAAACCGGAGCUAAUACCGGAUAACACGUUGAACCGCAUGGUUCAACAGUGAAAGACGGUCUUGCUGUCACUUAUAGAUGGAUCCGCGUCGCAUUAGCUAGUUGGUAAGGUAACGGCUUACCAAGGCAACGAUGCGUAGCCGACCUGAGAGGGUGAUCGGCCACACUGGAACUGAGACACGGUCCAGACUCCUACGGGAGGCAGCAGUAGGGAAUCUUCCGCAAUGGGCGAAAGCCUGACGGAGCAACGCCGCGUGAGUGAAGAAGGUCUUCGGAUCGUAAAACUCUGUUAUUAGGGAAGAACAAAUGUGUAAGUAACUAUGCACGUCUUGACGGUACCUAAUCAGAAAGCCACGGCUAACUACGUG